RNAcentral lists this ribosomal RNA (117 nucleotides) under bacterium. RNAcentral also lists the same sequence under 1 other name. The record is from RNAcentral.
UCUGGUGUCAAUAGCGUGAGGGUCACACCCGGUCCCAUCCCGAACCCGGAAGUUAAGCCUCACAGCGCCGAUGAUACUGCGGGGGCGACCCCGUGGGAAAGUAGGACGAUGCCAGAU